GUGAGGAAUAUUGGUCAAUGGGCGGGAGCCUGAACCAGCCAAGUCGCGUGAAGGAAGAAGGAUCUAUGGUUCGUAAACUUCUUUUGCAGGGGAAUAAAGUGCAGGACGUGUCCUGUUUUGUAUGUACCCUGAGAAUAAGGAUCGGCUAACUCCGUGCCAGCAGCCGCGGUAAUACGGAGGAUCCGAGCGUUAUCCGGAUUUAUUGGGUUUAAAGGGUGCGUAGGUGGAUUGAUAAGUCAGCGGUGAAAGUUUGCAGCUUAACUGUAAAAUUGCCGGUGAAACUGUCGGACUUGAGUGUAAAUGAGGUAGGCGGAAUGCGUGGUGUAGCGGUGAAAUGCAUAGAUAUCACGCAGAACUCCGAUUGCGAAGGCAGCUUACUAAGCUACAACUGACACUGAAGCACGAAAGCGUGGGGAUCAAACAGGAUUAGAAACCCGUGUAGUCC
Molecule: ribosomal RNA, 445 nt
Filed under: uncultured bacterium
Lineage: Bacteria
Description: partial 16S ribosomal RNA
Rfam family: Bacterial small subunit ribosomal RNA
Source: RNAcentral